AGGAAAAGAAACCAACCGGGAUUGCCUCAGUAACGGCGAGUGAAGCGGCAAGAGCUCAAAUUUGAAAGCUGGCCCCUCCGGGGCCCGCGUUGUAAUUUGCAGAGGAUGCUUUGGGUGCGGCCCCCGUCUAAGUGCCCUGGAACGGGCCGUCAGAGAGGGUGAGAAUCCCGUCUUGGGCGGGGUGUCCGUGCCCGUGUAAAGCUCCUUCGACGAGUCGAGUUGUUUGGGAAUGCAGCUCUAAAUGGGUGGUAAAUUUCAUCUAAAGCUAAAUACUGGCCGGAGACCGAUAGCGCACAAGUAGAGUGAUCGAAAGAUGAAAAGCACUUUGAAAAGAGAGUUAAACAGCACGUGAAAUUGUUGAAAGGGAAGCGCUUGCGACCAGACUCGCCCUCGGGGUUCAGCCGGCACUCGUGCCGGUGUACUUCCCCGGGGGCGGGCCAGCGUCAGCUUGGGCGGCCGGUCAAAGGCCUCC
Molecule: ribosomal RNA, 472 nt
Filed under: Aspergillus japonicus
Lineage: Eukaryota; Fungi; Ascomycota; Eurotiomycetes; Eurotiales; Aspergillaceae
Description: eukaryotic LSU rRNA
Rfam family: Eukaryotic large subunit ribosomal RNA
Source: RNAcentral